GCAGUAGCCGCGGUAAUACGGAGGGGGCUAGCGUUGUUCGGAAUUACUGGGCGUAAAGCGCACGUAGGCGGUUUUGUAAGUCAGAGGUGAAAGCCCGGAGCUCAACUCCGGAACUGCCUUUGAGACUGCACCACUUGAACGCCGGAGAGGUGAGUGGAAUUCCGAGUGUAGAGGUGAAAUUCGUAGAUAUUCGGAAGAACACCAGUGGCGAAGGCGGCUCACUGGACGACUGUUGACGCUGAGGUGCGAAAGCGUGGGGAGCAAACAGGAUUAGAUACCCCAGUAGUCCCUGUCUCUUAUAC
RNAcentral lists this ribosomal RNA (302 nucleotides) under uncultured bacterium. RNAcentral describes it as "partial 16S ribosomal RNA". It matches the Rfam family "Bacterial small subunit ribosomal RNA", at positions 508 to 807 of the family's 1533-position model. The record is from RNAcentral.